Molecule: long non-coding RNA, 625 nt
Organism: Conger conger (European conger)
Lineage: Eukaryota; Metazoa; Chordata; Actinopteri; Anguilliformes; Congridae
Exons: 4
Source: RefSeq, a predicted model, not a curated record
CUGAGCUUUCGUUAACGUAUUUCAGGACAGCCAUUGCUUUAGCAAGUAACUUAGACAAACAGCCGAAAUUUAAAGUAAUAAAACAUUGAGCCUAUCUAAGAGAAGAUACUUUACAGCUUGCACCGCAAUAUUUGGACUUUCUUUCCACACUUUCUGGAGUCCAACGACAUAUUUGCUCUCGCAUGCUACGCAUGCUGUGGUCACAAGUGUGAAAUGACUUGCUUCCGCGUAGGAGUAGCCUACUUUACAUCUUGCACAGUAAUCUACAGCUUUCUUUCCACACUUUCUGGAGUCCAACGACAGAUUGGGUCUCGGCAUGUUCCCGAAUCAAGUAUAUCUAUUGCUCCUGUUCUGUGACCUCUCCUAUUGCUGUGGAAGUGCAGAAUAUUUAAUUAAUGGAAAGUCCUGUCCGAUGUGCUCCCCUGGGGAGCAUGUUUAUAGGCACUGCACAAAAUACACAAGCACCUCCUGUGAUCUGUGCACUGCUGGAUCAUUCAUGUCGGUGCCCAACGGUCUUCUUCAUUGUAUCACUUGUACAGUCUGUGACCCAGGUCAUGGAUUAAAGACGGACAGGGAGUGCAGUCCCACCUCUGAUGCAGUGUGUGGGCCUCUGGAUCAGCACUAC